GCCGGUGUGGUGAAAUUGGCAGACGCAACGGAUUCAAAAUCCGUCGGGGGCAACUCCAUGUCGGUUCAAGUCCGACCACCGGUACCA
This 87-nucleotide transfer RNA is filed under the name Clostridiaceae bacterium. Its description in RNAcentral is "tRNA-Leu". It matches the Rfam family "tRNA". From Rfam's summary of the family: Transfer RNA (tRNA) molecules are approximately 80 nucleotides in length. Their secondary structure includes four short double-helical elements and three loops (D, anti-codon, and T loops). Further hydrogen bonds mediate the characteristic L-shaped molecular structure. tRNAs have two regions of fundamental functional importance: the anti-codon, which is responsible for specific mRNA codon recognition, and the 3' end, to which the tRNAs corresponding amino acid is attached (by aminoacyl-tRNA synthetases). tRNAs cope with the degeneracy of the genetic code in two manners: having more than one tRNA (with a specific anti-codon) for a particular amino acid; and 'wobble' base-pairing, i.e. permitting non-standard base-pairing at the 3rd anti-codon position. Lineage: Bacteria; Bacillati; Bacillota; Clostridia; Eubacteriales; Clostridiaceae. The record is from RNAcentral.